AACGAACGCUGGCGGCAGGCUUAACACAUGCAAGUUGAACGGGAUUUGUGUGGUGCUUGCACCAUAUAAUGAGAGUAGCGCACUGGUGAGUAACACGUGGGAACGUGCCUUUUAGUGGGGGAUAACAUCUGGAAACGGAUGCUAAUACCGCAUACGCCCUGAGGGGGAAAGAUUUAUUGCUAAGAGGUCGGCCCGCGGUAGAUUAGGCAGUUGGUGGGGUAAAGGCCUACCAAACCUACGAUCUAUAGCUGGUCUGAGAGGACGAUCAGCCACAUUGGAACUGAGACACGGUCCAGACUCCUACGGGAGGCAGCAGUGAGGAAUAUUGGGCAAUGGAGGCAACUCUGACCCAGCCAUGCCGCGUGAGUGAGAAGGUUUCGAAUUGUAAAGCUCUUUCGGGUGUGAAGAUGAUGACGGUAACACCAGAAGAAGCCCCGGCAAACUUCGUG
RNAcentral lists this ribosomal RNA (449 nucleotides) under uncultured bacterium. RNAcentral's name for it is "bacterial SSU rRNA". It matches the Rfam family "Bacterial small subunit ribosomal RNA", at positions 29 to 507 of the family's 1533-position model. The record is from RNAcentral.